Long non-coding RNA from Bubalus bubalis (water buffalo), 741 nucleotides. RefSeq lists it as uncharacterized. Lineage: Eukaryota; Metazoa; Chordata; Mammalia; Artiodactyla; Bovidae. The transcript is spliced from 3 exons. The record is from RefSeq and is a predicted model, not a curated record.
AUCCACAUAGCGUGUGGGAGGGAACUGACACUUUCUUUUGAUGAGAAGUAAGACUUUUGCCCAUAGUUACUCUUGUCAGAGUGGUCUGACAUGUGGACGCCUGCAAAAUGUGUUCCGGUUCAUUUUGUUUUUUAAAGCAACUUCUUGGGGGAGAAGCAGAAGGGAAACUGACCACCCUGCAUGAGCUACACUAAAUGUGUCUGUGAAGCUGGGUCCUUUCUCUCAGGUGAUCAGAACAACUAUGAUCUCACGUGGGAAUUCCUACAGCAUCUCUCUGGUCCAUCACAAGUCCCAGAGAUGGACCCUCAGGCUGCCAACCUUGGCCCAGUCCAAUCAAUAGGAUCAUCUGAACUCAUGAGGAAAGGCAGAAGUCACUCACGAAAAGGGUUUCAGGGGAACUACAGACCUCUCCCGUAUUCCAGUGGAAAUAUCUGGUGGAUGCCUACAAGAUGCCUGAGAUCAAAAGCCCCCCUCUGCCACUUACUAGCUGUGUUCUUGAGCAAGUUACUUAGAUUCUGGGAGCCUUAAUUUCUUCCUUUCCUGAAUGGCUAUGAUCAUAUUUAUGAUAACAGUUACUCAGAGUACUAAAAGAAAUAUAAAUCAGUUUACAUACAGUGACUACUUUUUAAAAAAGUAAGAUUGACUUUAUUUAUUUUAAAAAUUUAUUUCCUUGUUGUUUGCUGUGCCGGGUGGUUGCUGCUGCGUGCGGGCUUCCUCUAGUUGCGGUGAGUGGGGACUACU